RNAcentral lists this ribosomal RNA (465 nucleotides) under Vreelandella stevensii. Its description in RNAcentral is "partial 16S ribosomal RNA". It matches the Rfam family "Bacterial small subunit ribosomal RNA", at positions 338 to 795 of the family's 1533-position model. Lineage: Bacteria; Pseudomonadati; Pseudomonadota; Gammaproteobacteria; Oceanospirillales; Halomonadaceae. The record is from RNAcentral.
CCUACGGGAGGCAGCAGUGGGGAAUAUUGGACAAUGGGCGAAAGCCUGAUCCAGCCAUGCCGCGUGUGUGAAGAAGGCCUUCGGGUUGUAAAGCACUUUCAGUGGGGAAGAAAGCCUUGGGGCUAAUACCCUCGAGGAAGGACAUCACCCACAGAAGAAGCACCGGCUAACUCCGUGCCAGCAGCCGCGGUAAUACGGAGGGUGCGAGCGUUAAUCGGAAUUACUGGGCGUAAAGCGCGCGUAGGCGGUCUGAUAAGCCGGUUGUGAAAGCCCCGGGCUCAACCUGGGAACGGCAUCCGGAACUGUCAGGCUAGAGUGCAGGAGAGGAAGGUAGAAUUCCCGGUGUAGCGGUGAAAUGCGUAGAGAUCGGGAGGAAUACCAGUGGCGAAGGCGGCCUUCUGGACUGACACUGACGCUGAGGUGUGAAAGCGUGGGUAGCAAACAGGAUUAGAUACCCCAGUAGUC